CUAGCUAGAAGCAGGUCAUCUUAUGCAACUGAAUUGGAAAGCACAUUUGGCUUUUUUUGAUUGGUCCUGAGUUGGAAGCUGGGGCAAGAAUCAGGGGAAGCUGGCAGUCACUGACCAAGUUUUAAUCAUUUUGGGCUGAUUGCUGCAGCAAUUGUGCGUCAGAGUUGGAUUGCAUAUUUGGUCUGGCCAUUGUUUUUUCCGUUUUUCAAGGAGGGAGGAGAUUUUUUGUAGUCUGAAAAUUCUUCACUGAACUGAUAGUUGGACCAAGUGUUGUGGCUCACAGCUGGAGAGAAAUUUGCCUCAGGAUGAAUCACACAUUUGAGUCUCAACAAUUCCUGAUCUUGAUGACAUUUAGAUGAGACUCUGGACUUCAGGCUUUUGAGUUGGUGCUGGAACAAGGUCCCACUUAUAAGUGAGAACAUGCAGUGUUUGGUUUUCUGUUCCUGUGUUCGUUUGCUGAGGAUAAUGGCUUCCAGUUCCAUCCAUGUGCCUGCAAAGGACACGAUCUCUUUCCUUUUGAUGGCUGCAAUAAUAUCCAGCAUUUUUGAAGCUACAAAACAUGGCUGGGUGCGGUGGCUCAUUCCUGUAAUCCCAGCACUUUGGGAGGCCGAGGCAGGCGGAUCAUGAGGUCAGGAGAUGGAGAACAUCCUGACCAACAUGGUGAAACCCCGUCUCUACUAAAAUACAAAAAAAAAAAAAAUUAUCUGGGCAUGGUGGCACGCACCUGUAGUCCCAGCUACUCUGGAGGCUGAGGCAGGGGAAUCACUUGAACCUUGGAGGUGGAGGUUGCAGUGAGCUGAGAUCACACCACUGCACUCCAGCCUGGCGACAGAGCGAGACUCCAUCUCAAAAAAGCAAAAACAAACAAGAAAAAAUAAUAAAAAAGAAAACCCUAAAAAACACAUAUUCAAAUAACUAAAGAGAAAAUCUUUUCAAAUAGGACUUAAAGGCUUAAAUGAAGACCACGAGGAAUGAUGAUAGGAUAUGCUGAGGAAACUGAUGAGAUUCAGUUGGCUAUCAUGAAGUUUUGUACAGAAGUGUGGGGAGAAAAGUGCGAAUUAGGUAAUGGAGAGUUUGAGUAUAGGACUACUCCAUGUCCAUCACAGUCCAUCUCUUGCAUUUCUCAGAUUCAUUUCUUCACAUACAUUUUGGCAAGCAACUCUUUCAGGAUUCAUUCCAGCAGGCCUUCCUGCCUGGAGGAAACUUAAAAGAAGGUUAGUGAAAUAAACUAUGGCCCCUGCCUCUACAAAUGUUCUUAGUAAAUAUGAAUUUCUUUUGUCAACAGUGUAGCAGAGUAUUAUUUUUUAAAUACUUACCAGUUUGUGUCCUCUUACCAAUAAAAUAUUUCCUCCUUAUCUAACAUCUGCCAUUUAGGUAAAGCUCUGAAUUAGAUUUGGAAAAGAAGAGGAUGCAGGGAAAAUGAGAAGGGGAAGUAAAAGAUCAGCCUGCUCCUUGCAGGCAAGAAAGGGAUACAGUGGUAGGGUGAGAACAGCAAGUGUUGAGAUGUUUUGCUGUAACAGGACACCAAAGUAGAAAUGUAUG
Symphalangus syndactylus (siamang) is the source of this 1542-nucleotide long non-coding RNA. RefSeq lists it as uncharacterized. The record is from RefSeq and is a predicted model, not a curated record. Lineage: Eukaryota; Metazoa; Chordata; Mammalia; Primates; Hylobatidae.